AAAUCAGCUCAUCAAGACAGAAGUCAUACUAAACAUUAAGACUUUUUUCAAAGACAGACCAAGAUCCGACGUCCUCCGUGGCUGGGCUUGCUGGACUCUGCACCAUGAGAAACAGAUUUCUAAGGUUGCCGCCAGGUAGGAAGAAUUAUAACAAGGAUGAGGAAGAAUAAGCUACCUGGGAACUGUCUAUACAGUUUAAGAAUGUUCUCUGCUCUUUGCCCGAUUUCUGGCUCGUUUUCCCACCAUCUCUGUAAGGAAGAGUGGGGAAGAAGUUUUAAGAAGGAUAUUAGCUCAGUUCUGUUCAGUCCUCAAAGGAGAAAGUCAGUGAAACUCAUUGUGAGGGCAAAGGUGGGGACUAAGGGAUUUAUGACCCAUAUUAGUUCAGGUUCUCCCGAGAAACAGAUCCAACAGGAUGUAUCUCUCUCUCACUGUCUCUGUGUUUCUCUCUGUCUCUGUCCGUCUGUCUGUCCACCUACCUCUCUAGAUUUACUUUAAGGACUUGGGUCAUGAGAUUGUGGAGGUUGGAAAGUCCAAAACCUGCUGUCAGGCUGGAGACCCAGGGAAGACUCGAUGUUACAUCUCAAGUCUGAAGCCAGUCUGGAAGCAGAAUUCCCUCUUCCUCAGAGGGGCAUUCUUGGUGCUGCUGCUGUUGUCAUUGGGACUUGCAGCCCAGAACCUUAGAGCCUCUGUCUCUGAAGCCUCUGCCCCUCCAGGCUGUGAUCCCUGGUGCCCUCGGAACUCCGUAUGUGUCAGUGCCACCACCUGUCGCUGCCAUCCAGGAUUCAGCUCCUGGUCUGGGGAGAUCAUCACCAACCCCGCAGACAGUUAUGAUGUUACUCUGUGCAGCCCUUGCUUUGUGGGUCCUGAGCUGCUCAAAGGGGAUGUGGUUCAUGGGCAUCGUUCCGCUCAUGAUGGGAGAACAAGGAGAGAGAAGAUGCCAGAAGACACCCCGAUGACUCAGCUACAUCAAUGAGUGUGGCCCACCCUUGGCCGUGUCCUGUGGAAAAUUCGCGGAUUGCCAGAAUGUGGACGGG
Molecule: long non-coding RNA, 1034 nt
Filed under: Equus asinus (donkey)
Lineage: Eukaryota; Metazoa; Chordata; Mammalia; Perissodactyla; Equidae
Description: lncRNA (ENSEASG00005032402.1)
Source: RNAcentral